GCUGGGGAUACAGCUCAGCUGGUAGAGUGCUGGCCUCGCAGGCUCGAGGCCCUGGGUUCAAUCCCCAGCACCGCA
Molecule: transfer RNA, 75 nt
Filed under: Marmota monax (woodchuck)
Lineage: Eukaryota; Metazoa; Chordata; Mammalia; Rodentia; Sciuridae
Description: tRNA.Ala
Source: RNAcentral